This 64-nucleotide transfer RNA is filed under the name Acerbas sarala chinensis. Its description in RNAcentral is "tRNA-Cys". Lineage: Eukaryota; Metazoa; Arthropoda; Insecta; Lepidoptera; Hesperiidae. The record is from RNAcentral.
AGUCUUGUAUUCAAUAAUGAUAUAAAAUUGCAAAUUUUAAGAGGUAAGAAAAUUACUAAGGCUU